CGUUAACCUCGAUGCACUUUUUCGCUCGAAACAAAACGGCAAGAAAAUCAUGUGGGCCCCACGGCCUUACACUUGGAUUGGCCGCGAAAAGGAUAUAUAGAAACGAGAGUGAUGUACUGACGGGUGCGAUCAUACCAGCACUAAUGCACCGGAUCCCAUCAGAACUCCGCAGUUAAGCGUGCUUGGGCGAGAGUAGUACUAGGAUGGGUGACCUCCCGGGAAGUCCUCGUGUUGCACCCCUUUUUAUUUUUUAAUUUUUUUUUAGCCUAAAACGAGUCUAAACUUGAAAACCUCAUAACUUUUGAACCGUGAGGAACUACGUCGCCCAUAGCACCAUUUCGGAGAGCCCCAGAAACCAUAAUGGGGCGGUGAAUAGGGGGCGCAAUUUUUCGGGCUCAAAUUCAGCCGUUUUGACCCUCAAACGGGCUGCGGAAAGUUAUGGCACGUAAAAAAGAUCGAAAGCGGAUUCUCAAGGUGUUUUUGAUGCUUUCUUAACGCCGUUAACCUCGAUGCACUUUUUCGCUCGAAACAAAACGGCAAGAAAAUCAUGCGCGCCCCACGGCCUUACACUUGGAUUGGCCGCGAAAAGGAUAUAUAGAAACGAGAGUGAUGUACUGACGGGUGCGAUCAUACCAGCACUAAUGCACCGGAUCCCAUCAGAACUCCGCAGUUAAGCGUGCUUGGGCGAGAGUAGUACUAGGAUGGGUGACCUCCCGGGAAGUCCUCGUGUUGCACCCCUUUUUAUUUUUUAUUUUUUUUUUAGCCUAAAACGAGUCUAAACUUGAAAACCUCAUAACUUUUGAACCGUGAGGAACUACGUCGCCCAUAGCACCAUUUCGGAAGAGCCCCAGAAACCAUAAUGGGCGGUGAAUAGGGGGCGCAAUUUUUCGGGCUCAAAUUCAGCCGUUUUGACCCUCAAACGGGCUGCGGAAAGUUAUGGCACGUAAAAAAGAUCGAAAGCGGAUUCUCAAGGUGUUUUUGAUGCUUUCUUAACGCCGUUAACCUCGAUGCACUUUUUCGCUCGAAACAAAACGGCAAGAAAAUCAUGCGCGCCCCACGGCCUUACACUUGGAUUGGCCGCGAAAAGGAUAUAUAGAAACGAGAGUGAUGUACUGACGGGUGCGAUCAUACCAGCACUAAUGCACCGGAUCCCAUCAGAACUCCGCAGCUAAGCGUGCUUGGGCGAGAGUAGUACUAGGAUGGGUGACCUCCCGGGAAGUCCUCGUGUUGCACCCCUUUUUAUUUUUUAAUUUUUUUUUUUGCCUAAAACGAGUCUAAACUUGAAAACCUCAUAACUUUUGAACCGUGAGGAACUACGUCGCCCAUAGCACCAUUUCGGAGAGCCCCAGAAACCAUAAUGGGCGGUGAAUAGGGGGCGCAAUUUUUCGGGCUCAAAUUCAGCCGUUUUGACCCUCAAACGGGCUGCGGAAAGUUAUGGCACGUAAAAAAGAUCGAAAGCGGAUUCUCAAGGUGUUUUUGAUGCUUUCUUAACGCCGUUAACCUCGAUGCACUUUUUCGCUCGAAACAAAACGGCAAGAAAAUCAUGCGCGCCCCACGGCCUUACACUUGGAUUGGCCGCGAAAAGGAUAUAUAGAAACGAGAGUGAUGUACUGACGGGUGCGAUCAUACCAGCACUAAUGCACCGGAUCCCAUCAGAACUCCGCAGUUAAGCGUGCUUGGGCGAGAGUAGUACUAGGAUGGGUGACCUCCCGGGAAGUCCUCGUGUUGCACCCCUUUUUAUUUUUUAAUUUUUUUUUAGCCUAAAACGAGUCUAAACUUGAAAACCUCAUAACUUUUGAACCGUGAGGAACUACGUCGCCCAUAGCACCAUUUCGGAGAGCCCCAGAAACCAUAAUGGGCGGUGAAUAGGGGGCGCAAUUUUUCGGGCUCAAAUUCAGCCGUUUUGACCCUCAAACGGGCUGCGGAAAGUUAUGGCACGUAAAAAAGAUCGAAAGCGGAUUCUCAAGGUGUUUUUGAUGCUUUCUUAACGCCGUUAACCUCGAUGCACUUUUUCGCUCGAAACAAAACGGCAAGAAAAUCAUGCGCGCCCCACGGCCUUACACUUGGAUUGGCCGCGAAAAGGAUAUAUAGAAACGAGAGUGAUGUACUGACGGGUGCGAUCAUACCAGCACUAAUGCACCGGAUCCCAUCAGAACUCCGCAGUUAAGCGUGCUUGGGCGAGAGUAGUACUAGGAUGGGUGACCUCCCGGGAAGUCCUCGUGUUGCACCCCUUUUUAUUUUUUAAUUUUUUUUAGCCUAAAACGAGUCUAAACUUGAAAACCUCAUAACUUUUGAACCGUGAGGAACUACGUCGCCCAUAGCACCAUUUCGGAGAGCCCCAGAAACCAUAAUGGGCGGUGAAUAGGGGGCGCAAUUUUUCGGGCUCAAAUUCAGCCGUUUUGACCCUCAAACGGGCUGCGGAAAGUUAUGGCACGUAAAAAAGAUCGAAAGCGGAUUCUCAAGGUGUUUUUGAUGCUUUCUUAACGCCGUUAACCUCGAUGCACUUUUUCGCUCGAAACAAAACGGCAAGAAAAUCAUGCGCGCCCACGGCCUUACACUUGGAUUGGCCGCGAAAAGGAUAUAUAGAAACGAGAGUGAUGUACUGACGGGUGCGAUCAUACCAGCACUAAUGCACCGGAUCCCAUCAGAACUCCGCAGUAAGCGUGCUUGGGCGAGAGUAGUACUAGGAUGGGUGACCUCCCGGGAAGUCCUCGUGUUGCACCCCUUUUUAUUUUUUAAUUUUUUUUUAGCCUAAAACGAGUCUAAACUUGAAAACCUCAUAACUUUUGAACCGUGAGGAACUACGUCGCCCAUAGCACCAUUUCGGAGAGCCCCAGAAACCAUAAUGGGCGGUGAAUAGGGGGCGCAAUUUUUCGGGCUCAAAUUCAGCCGUUUUGACCCUCAAACGGGCUGCGGAAAGUUAUGGCACGUAAAAAAGAUCGAAAGCGGAUUCUCAAGGUGUUUUUGAUGCUUUCUUAACGCCGUUAACCUCGAUGCACUUUUUCGCUCGAAACAAAACGGCAAGAAAAUCAUGCGCGCCCCACGGCCUUACACUUGGAUUGGCCGCGAAAAGGAUAUAUAGAAACGAGAGUGAUGUACUGACGGGUGCGAUCAUACCAGCACUAAUGCACCGGAUCCCAUCAGAACUCCGCAGUUAAGCGUGCUUGGGCGAGAGUAGUACUAGGAUGGGUGACCUCCCGGGAAGUCCUCGUGUUGCACCCCUUUUUAUUUUUAAUUUUUUUUUAGCCUAAAACGAGUCUAAACUUGAAAACCUCAUAACUUUUGAACCGUGAGGAACUACGUCGCCCAUAGCACCAUUUCGGAAAGCCCCAGAAACCAUAAUGGGCGGUGAAUAGGGGGCGCAAUUUUUCGGGCUCAAAUUCAGCCGUUUUGACCCUCAAACGGGCUGCGGAAAGUUAUGGCACGUAAAAAAGAUCGAAAGCGGAUUCUCAAGGUGUUUUUGAUGCUUUCUUAACGCCGUUAACCUCGAUGCACUUUUUCGCUCGAAACAAAACGGCAAGAAAAUCAUGCGCGCCCCACGGCCUUACACUUGGAUUGGCCGCGAAAAGGAUAUAUAGAAACGAGAGUGAUGUACUGACGGGUGCGAUCAUACCAGCACUAAUGCACCGGAUCCCAUCAGAACUCCGCAGUUAAGCGUGCUUGGCGCGAGAGUAGUACUAGGAUGGGUGACCUCCCGGGAAGUCCUCGUGUUGCACCCCUUUUUAUUUUUUAAUUUUUUUUUGCCUAAAACGAGUCUAAACUUGAAAACCUCAUAACUUUUGAACCGUGAGGAACUACGUCGCCCAUAGCACCAUUUCGGAGAGCCCCAGAAACCAUAAUGGGCGGUGAAUAGGGGGCGCAAUUUUUCGGGCUCAAAUUCAGCCGUUUUGACCCUCAAACGGGCUGCGGAAAGUUAUGGCACGUAAAAAAGAUCGAAAGCGGAUUCUCAAGGUGUUUUUGAUGCUUUCUUAACGCCGUUAACCUCGAUGCACUUUUUCGCUCGAAACAAAACGGCAAGAAAAUCAUGCGCGCCCACGGCCUUACACUUGGAUUGGCCGCGAAAAGGAUAUAUAGAAACGAGAGUGAUGUACUGACGGGUGCGAUCAUACCAGCACUAAUGCACCGGAUCCCAUCAGAACUCCGCAGUUAAGCGUGCUUGGGCGAGAGUAGUACUAGGAUGGGUGACCUCCCGGGAAGUCCUCGUGUUGCACCCCUUUUAUUUUUUAAUUUUUUUUUGCCUAAAACGAGUCUAAACUUGAAAACCUCAUAACUUUUGAACCGUGAGGAACUACGUCGCCCAUAGCACCAUUUCGGAGAGCCCCAGAAACCAUAAUGGGCGGGUGAAUAGGGGGCGCAAUUUUUCGGGCUCAAAUUCAGCCGUUUUGACCCUCAAACGGGCUGCGGAAAGUUAUGGCACGUAAAAAAGAUCGAAAGCGGAUUCUCAAGGUGUUUUUGAUGCUUUCUUAACGCCGUUAACCUCGAUGCACUUUUUCGCUCGAAACAAAACGGCAAGAAAAUCAUGCGCGCCCCACGGCCUUACACUUGGAUUGGCCGCGAAAAGGAUAUAUAGAAACGAGAGUGAUGUACUGACGGGUGCGAUCAUACCAGCACUAAUGCACCGGAUCCCAUCAGAACUCCGCAGUUAAGCGUGCUUGGGCGAGAGUAGUACUAGGAUGGGUGACCUCCCGGGAAGUCCUCGUGUUGCACCCCUUUUUUUUUAAAUUUUUUUUUAGCCUAAAACGAGUCUAAACUUGAAAACCUCAUAACUUUUGAACCGUGAGGAACUACGUCGCCCAUAGCACCAUUUCGGAGAGCCCCAGAAACCAUAAUGGGCGGGGAAUAGGGGGCGCAAUUUUUCGGGCUCAAAUUCAGCCGUUUUGACCCUCAAACGGGCUGCGGAAAGUUAUGUCACGUAAAAAAGAUCGAAAGCGGAUUCUCAAGGUGUUUUUGAUGCUUUCUUAACGCCGUUAACCUCGAUGCACUUUUUCGCUCGAAACAAAACGGCAAGAAAAUCAUGCGCGCCCCACGGCCUUACACUUGGAUUGGCCGCGAAAAGGAUAUAUAGAAACGAGAGUGAUGUACUGACGGGUGCGAUCAUACCAGCACUAAUGCACCGGAUCCCAUCAGAACUCCGCAGUUAAGCGUGCUUGGGCGAGAGUAGUACUAGGAUGGGUGACCUCCCGGGAAGUCCUCGUGUUGCACCCCUUUUUAUUUUUUAAUUUUUUUUUGCCUAAAACGAGUCUAAACUUGAAAACCUCAUAACUUUUGAACCGUGAGGAACUACGUCGCCCAUAGCACCAUUUCGGAGAGCCCCAGAAACCAUAAUGGGCGGUGAAUAGGGGGCGCAAUUUUUCGGGCUCAAAUUCAGCCGUUUUGACCCUCAAACGGGCUGCGGAAAGUUAUGGCACGUAAAAAAGAUCGAAAGCGGAUUCUCAAGGUGUUUUUGAUGCUUUCUUAACGCCGUUAACCUCGAUGCACUUUUUCGCUCGAAACAAAACGGCAAGAAAAUCAUGCGCGCCCCACGGCCUUACACUUGGAUUGGCCGCGAAAAGGAUAUAUAGAAACGAGAGUGAUGUACUGACGGGUGCGAUCAUACCAGCACUAAUGCACCGGAUCCCAUCAGAACUCCGCAGUUAAGCGUGCUUGGGCGAGAGUAGUACUAGGAUGGGUGACCUCCCGGGAAGUCCUCGUGUUGCACCCCUUUUUUUUUUUAAUUUUUUUUUAGCCUAAAACGAGUCUAAACUUGAAAACCUCAUAACUUUUGAACCGUGAGGAACUACGUCGCCCAUAGCACCAUUUCGGAGAGCCCCAGAAACCAUAAUGGGCGGUGAAUAGGGGGCGCAAUUUUUCGGGCUCAAAUUCAGCCGUUUUGACCCUCAAACGGGCUGCGGAAAGUUAUGGCACGUAAAAAAGAUCGAAAGCGGAUUCUCAAGGUGUUUUUGAUGCUUUCUUAACGCCGUUAACCUCGAUGCACUUUUUCGCUCGAAACAAAACGGCAAGAAAAUCAUGCGCGCCCCACGGCCUUACACUUGGAUUGGCCGCGAAAAGGAUAUAUAGAAACGAGAGUGAUGUACUGACGGGUGCGAUCAUACCAGCACUAAUGCACCGGAUCCCAUCAGAACUCCGCAGUUAAGCGUGCUUGGGCGAGAGUAGUACUAGGAUGGGUGACCUCCCGGGAAGUCCUCGUGUUGCACCCCUUUUUAUUUUUUAAUUUUUUUUUAGCCUAAAACGAGUCUAAACUUGAAAACCUCAUAACUUUUGAACCGUGAGGAACUACGUCGCCCAUAGCACCAUUUCGGAAGCCCAGAAACCAUAAUGGGCGGUGAAUAGGGGGCGCAAUUUUUCGGGCUCAAAUUCAGCCGUUUUGACCCUCAAACGGGCUGCGGAAAGUUAUGGCACGUAAAAAAGAUCGAAAGCGGAUUCUCAAGGUGUUUUUGAUGCUUUCUUAACGCCGUUAACCUCGAUGCACUUUUUCGCUCGAAACAAAACGGCAAGAAAAUCAUGCGCGCCCCACGGCCUUACACUUGGAUUGGCCGCGAAAAGGAUAUAUAGAAACGAGAGUGAUGUACUGACGGGUGCGAUCAUACCAGCACUAAUGCACCGGAUCCCAUCAGAACUCCGCAGUUAAGCGUGCUUGGGCGAGAGUAGUACUAGGAUGGGUGACCUCCCGGGAAGUCCUCGUGUUGCACCCCUUUUUAUUUUUUAAUUUUUUUUUAGCCUAAAACGAGUCUAAACUUGAAAACCUCAUAACUUUUGAACCGUGAGGAACUACGUCGCCCAUAGCACCAUUUCGGAAGCCCCAGAAACCAUAAUGGGCGGUGAAUAGGGGGCGCAAUUUUUCGGGCUCAAAUUCAGCCGUUUUGACCCUCAAACGGGCUGCGGAAAGUUAUGGCACGUAAAAAAGAUCGAAAGCGGAUUCUCAAGGUUGUUUUGAUGCUUUCUUAACGCCGUUAACCUCGAUGCACUUUUUCGCUCGAAACAAAACGGCAAGAAAAUCAUGCGCGCCCCACGGCCUUACACUUGGAUUGGCCGCGAAAAGGAUAUAUAGAAACGAGAGUGAUGUACUGACGGGUGCGAUCAUACCAGCACUAAUGCACCGGAUCCCAUCAGAACUCCGCAGUUAAGCGUGCUUGGGCGAGAGUAGUACUAGGAUGGGUGACCUCCCGGGAAGUCCUCGUGUUGCACCCCUUUUUAUUUUUUAAUUUUUUUUUAGCCUAAAACGAGUCUAAACUUGAAAACCUCAUAACUUUUGAACCGUGAGGAACUACGUCGCCCAUAGCACCAUUUCGGAAGCCCCAGAAACCAUAAUGGGCGGUGAAUAGGGGGCGCAAUUUUUCGGGCUCAAAUUCAGCCGUUUUGACCCUCAAACGGGCUGCGGAAAGUUAUGGCACGUAAAAAAGAUCGAAAGCGGAUUCUCAAGGUGUUUUUGAUGCUUUCUUAACGCCGUUAACCUCGAUGCACUUUUUCGCUCGAAACAAAACGGCAAGAAAAUCAUGCGCGCCCCACGGCCUUACACUUGGAUUGGCCGCGAAAAGGAUAUAUAGAAACGAGAGUGAUGUACUGACGGGUGCGAUCAUACCAGCACUAAUGCACCGGAUCCCAUCAGAACUCCGCAGUUAAGCGUGCUUGGGCGAGAGUAGUACUAGGAUGGGUGACCUCCCGGGAAGUCCUCGUGUUGCACACCUUUUUAUUUUAUAAUUUUUUUUAGCCUAAAACGAGUCUAAACAUGAAAACCUCAUAAAUUUUGAACCGUGAGGAACUACGUCGCCCAUAGCACCAUUGAAAAAGCCCCAGAAACCAUAAUGGGCGGUGAAUAGGGGGCGCAAUGUUUCGGGCUGAAAUUCAGCCGUUUUGACCCUCAAACGGGCUGCGGAAAGUUAUGGCACGUAAAAAAGAUCGAAAGCGGAUUCUCAAGGUGUUUUUGAUGCUUUCUUAACGCCGUUAACCUCGAUGCACUUUUUCGCUCGAAACAAAACGGCAAGAAAAUCAUGCGCGCCCCACGGCCUUACACUUGGAUUGGCCGCGAAAAGGAUAUAUAGAAACGAGAGUGAUGUACUGACGGGUGCGAUCAUACCAGCACUAAUGCACCGGAUCCCAUCAGAACUCCGCAGUUAAGCGUGCUUGGGCGAGAGUAGUACUAGGAUGGGUGACCUCCCGGGAAGUCCUCGUGUUGCACCCCUUUUUAUUUUUUAAUUUUUUUUUAGCCUAAAACGAGUCUAAACUUGAAAACCUCAUAACUUUUGAACCUUGAGGAACUACGUCGCCCAUAGCACCAUUUCGGAAAGCCCCAUAAAACCAUAAUGGGCGGUGAAUAGGGGGCGCAAUUUUUCGGGCUCAAAUUCAGCCGUUUUGACCCUCAAACGGGCUGCGGAAAGUUAUGGCACGUAAAAAAGAUCGAAAGCGGAUUUUCAAGGUGUUUUUGAUGCUUUCUUAACGCCGUUAACCUCGAUGCACUUUUUCGCUCGAAACAAAACGGCAAGAAAAUCAUGCGCGCCCCACGGCCUUACACUUGGAUUGGCCGCGAAAAGGAUAUAUAGAAACGAGAGUGAUGUACUGACGGGUGCGAUCAUACCAGCACUAAUGCACCGGAUCCCAUCAGAACUCCGCAGUUAAGCGUGCUUGGGCGAGAGAGUAGUACUAGGAUGGGUGACCUCCCGGGAAGUCCUCGUGUUGCACCCCUUUUUAUUUUUUAAUUUUUUUUUAGCCUAAAACGAGUCUAAACUUGAAAACCUCAUAACUUUUGAACCGUGAGGAACUACGUCGCCCAUAGCACCAUUUCGGAGAGCCCCAGAAACCAUAAUGGGCGGUGAAUAGGGGGCGCAAUUUUUCGGGCUCAAAUUCAGCCGUUUUGACCCUCAAACGGGCUGCGGAAAGUUAUGGCACGUAAAAAAGAUCGAAAGCGGAUUCUCAAGGUGUUUUUGAUGCUUUCUUAACGCCGUUAACCUCGAUGCACUUUUUCGCUCGAAACAAAACGGCAAAAAAAAUCAUGUGGGCCCCACGGCCUUACACUUGGAUUGGCCGCGAAAAGGAUAUAUAGAAACGAGAGUGAUGUACUGACGGGUGCGAUCAUACCAGCACUAAUGCACCGGAUCCCAUCAGAACUCCGCAGUUAAGCGUGCUUGGGCGAGAGUAGUACUAGGAUGGGUGACCUCCCGGGAAGUCCUCGUGUUGCACCCCUUUUUAUUUUUUAAUUUUUUUUUUUGCCUAAAACGAGUCUAAACUUGAAAACCUCAUAACUUUUGAACCGUGAGGAACUACGUCGCCCAUAGCACCAUUUCGGAAAGCCCCAGAAACCAUAAUGGGCGGUGAAUAGGGGGCGCAAUUUUUCGGGCUCAAAUUCAGCCGUUUUGACCCUCAAACGGGCUGCGGAAAGUUAUGGCACGUAAAAAAGAUCGAAAGCGGAUUCUCAAGGUGUUUUGAUGCUUUCUUAACGCCGUUAACCUCGAUGCACUUUUUCGCUCGAAACAAAACGGCAAGAAAAUCAUGCGCGCCCCACGGCCUUACACUUGGAUUGGCCGCGAAAAGGAUAUAUAGAAACGAGAGUGAUGUACUGACGGGUGCGAUCAUACCAGCACUAAUGCACCGGAUCCCAUCAGAACUCCGCAGUUAAGCGUGCUUGGGCGAGAGUAGUACUAGGAUGGGUGACCUCCCGGGAAGUCCUUGUGUUGCACCCCUUUUAAUUUUUUAAUUUUUUUUUAGCCUAAAACGAGUCUAAACUUGAAAACCUCAUAACUUUUGAACCGUGAGGAACUACGUCGCCCAUAGCACCAUUUCGGAGAGCCCCAGAAACCAUAAUGGGCGGUGAAUAGGGGCGCAAUUUUUCGGGCUCAAAUUCAGCCGUUUUGACCCUCAAACGGGCUGCGGAAAGUUAUGGCACGUAAAAAAGAUCGAAAGCGGAUUCUCAAGGUGCUUUUGAUGCUUUCUUAACGCCGUUAACCUCGAUGCACUUUUUCGCUCGAAACAAAACGGCAAGAAAAUCAUGCGCGCCCCACGGCCUUACACUUGGAUUGGCCGCGAAAAGGAUAUAUAGAAACGAGAGUGAUGUACUGACGGGUGCGAUCAUACCAGCACUAAUGCACCGGAUCCCAUCAGAACUCCGCAGUUAAGCGUGCUUGGGCGAGAGUAGUACUAGGAUGGGUGACCUCCCGGGAAGUCCUCGUGUUGCACCCCUUUUAUUUUUUAAUUUUUUUUUGCCUAAAACGAGUCUAAACUUGAAAACCUCAUAACUUUUGAACCGUGAGGAACUACGUCGCCCAUAGCACCAUUUCGGAGAGCCCCAGAAACCAUAAUGGGCGGUGAAUAGGGGGCGCAAUUUUUCGGGCUCAAAUUCAGCCGUUUUGACCCUCAAACGGGCUGCGGGGAAAGUUAUGGCACGUAAAAAAGAUCGAAAGCGGAUUCUCAAGGUGCUUUUGAUGCUUUCUUAACGCCGUUAACCUCGAUGCACUUUUUCGCUCGAAACAAAACGGCAAGAAAAUCAUGCGCGCCCCACGGCCUUACACUUGGAUUGGCCGCGAAAAGGAUAUAUAGAAACGAGAGUGAUGUACUGACGGGUGCGAUCAUACCAGCACUAAUGCACCGGAUCCCAUCAGAACUCCGCAGUAAGCGUGCUUGGGCGAGAGUAGUACUAGGAUGGGUGACCUCCCGGGAAGUCCUCGUGUUGCACCCCUUUUUAUUUUUUAAUUUUUUUUUAGCCUAAAACGAGUCUAAACUUGAAAACCUCAUAACUUUUGAACCGUGAGGAACUACGUCGCCCAUAGCACCAUUUCGGAAAGCCCCAGAAACCAUAAUGGGCGGUGAAUAGGGGGCGCAAUUUUUCGGGCUCAAAUUCAGCCGUUUUGACCCUCAGACGGGCUGCGGAAAGUUAUGGCACGUAAAAAAGAUCGAAAGCGGAUUCUCAAGUGUUUUGUGUGCUUUCUUAACGCCGUUAACCUCGAUGCACUUUUUCGCUCGAAACAAAACGGCAAGAAAAUCAUGCGCGCCCCACGGCCUUACACUUGGAUUGGCCGCGAAAAGGAUAUAUAGAAACGAGAGUGAUGUACUGACGGGUGCGAUCAUACCAGCACUAAUGCACCGGAUCCCAUCAGAACUCCGCAGUUAAGCGUGCUUGGGCGAGAGUAGUACUAGGAUGGGUGACCUCCCGGGAAGUCCUCGUGUUGCACCCCUUUUUUUUUUUAAUUUUUUUUUAGCCUAAAACGAGUCUAAACUUGAAAACCUCAUAACUUUUGAACCGUGAGGAACUACGUCGCCCAUAGCACCAUUUCGGAAAGCCCCAGAAACCAUAAUGGGCGGUGAAUAGGGGGCGCAAUUUUUCGGGCUCAAAUUCAGCCGUUUUGACCCUCAAACGGGCUGCGGAAAGUUAUGGCACGUAAAAAAGAUCGAACUAUGGAUUCUGAAGGUGUUUUUGAUGCUUUCUUAACGCCGUUAACCUCGAUGCACUUUUUCGCUCGAAACAAAACGGCAAGAAAAUCAUGCGCGCCCCACGGCCUUACACUUGGAUUGGCCGCGAAAAGGAUAUAUAGAAACAAGAGUGAUGUACUGUCGGGUGCGAUCAUACCAGCACUAAUGCACCGGAUCCCAUCAGAACUCCGCAGUUAAGCGUGCUUGGGCGAGAGUAGUACUAGGAUGGGUGACCUCCCGGGAAGUCCUCGUGUUGCACCCCUUUUUUUUUUUAAUUUUUUUUUGCCUAAAACGAGUCUAAACUGAAAACCCAUAACUUUUGAACCGUGAGGAACUACGUCGCCCAUAGCACCAUUUCGGAAGAGCCCCAGAAACCAUAAUGGGCGGUGAAUAGGGGGCGCAAUUUUUCGGGCUCAAAUUCAGCCGUUUUGACCCUCAAACGGGCUGCGGAAAGUUAUGGCACGUAAAAAAGAUCGAAAGCGGAUUCUCAAGGUGUUUUUGAUGCUUUCUUAACGCCGUUAACCUCGAUGCACUUUUUUUCGCUCGAAACAAAACGGCAAGAAAAUCAUGCGCGCCCCACGGCCUUACACUUGGAUUGGCCGCGAAAAGGAUAUAUAGAAACGAGAGUGAUGUACUGACGGGUGCGAUCAUACCAGCACUAAUGCACCGGAUCCCAUCAGAACUCCGCAGUCAAGCGUGCUUGGGCGAGAGUAGUACUAGGAUGGGUGACCUCCCGGGAAGUCCUCGUGUUGCACCCCUUUUUAUUUUUUUAAUUUUUUUUUAGCCUAAAACGAGUCUAAACUUGAAAACCUCAUAACUUUUGAACCGUGAGGAACUACGUCGCCCAUAGCACCAUUUCGGAGAGCCCCAGAAACCAUAAUGGGCGGUGAAUAGGGGGCGCAAUUUUUCGGGCUCAAAUUCAGCCGUUUUGACCCUCAAACGGGCUGCGGAAAGUUAUGGCACGUAAAAAAGAUCGAAAGCGGAUUCUCAAGUGUUUUUGAUGCUUUCUUAACGCCGUUAACCUCGAUGCACUUUUUCGCUCGAAACAAAACGGCAAGAAAAUCAUGCGCGCCCCACGGCCUUACACUUGGAUUGGCGCGAAAAGGAUAUAUAGAAACGAGAGUGAUGUACUGACGGGUGCGAUCAUACCAGCACUAAUGCACCGGAUCCCAUCAGAACUCCGCAGUUAAGCGUGCUUGGGCGAGAGUAGUACUAGGAUGGGUGACCUCCCGGGAAGUCCUCGUGUGUUGCACCCCUUUUUAUUUUUAAUUUUUUUUAGCCUAAAACGAGUCUAAACUUGAAAACCUCAUAACUUUUGAACCGUGAGGAACUACGUCGCCCAUAGCACCAUUUCGGAAAGCCCCAGAAACCAUAAUGGGCGGUGAAUAGGGGGCGCAAUUUUUCGGGCUCAAAUUCAGCCGUUUUGACCCUCAAACGGGCUGCGGAAAGUUAUGGCACGUAAAAAAGAUCGAAAGCGGAUUCUCAAGGUGUUUUUGAUGCUUUCUUAACGCCGUUAACCUCGAUGCACUUUUUCGCUCGAAACAAAACGGCAAGAAAAUCAUGCGCGCCCACGGCCUUACACUUGGAUUGGCCGCGAAAAGGAUAUAUAGAAAGAAACGAGUGAUGUACUGACGGGUGCGAUCAUACCAGCACUAAUGCACCGGAUCCCAUCAGAACUCCGCAGUUAAGCGUGCUUGGGCGAGAGUAGUACUAGGAUGGGUGACCUCCCGGGAAGUCCUCGUGUUGCACCCCUUUUUAUUUUUUAAUUUUUUUUUAGCCUAAACGAGUCUAAACUUGAAAACCUCAUAACUUUUGAACCGUGAGGAACUACGUCGCCCAUAGCACCAUUUCGGAAAGCCCCAGAAACCAUAAUGGGCGGGUGAAUAGGGGGCGCAAUUUUUCGGGCUCAAAUUCAGCCGUUUUGACCCUCAAACGGGCUGCGGAAAGUUAUGGCACGUAAAAAAGAUCGAAAGCGGAUUCUCAAGGUGUUUUGAUGCUUUCUUAACGCCGUUAACCUCGAUGCACUUUUUCGCUCGAAACAAACGGCAAGAAAAUCAUGCGCGCCCCACGGCCUUACACUUGGAUUGGCCGCGAAAAGGAUAUAUAGAAACGAGAGUGAUGUACUGACGGGUGCGAUCAUACCAGCACUAAUGCACCGGAUCCAUCAGAACUCCGCAGUUAAGCGUGCUUGGGCGAGAGUAGUACUAGGAUGGGUGACCUCCCGGGAAGUCCUCGUGUUGCACCCCUUUUUAUUUUUUAAUUUUUUUUUAGCCUAAAACGAGUCUAAACUUGAAAACCCCAUAACUUUUGAACCGUGAGGAACUACGUCGCCCAUAGCACCAUUUCGGAAAGCCCCAGAAACCAUAAUGGGCGGUGAAUAGGGGGCGCAAUUUUUCGGGCUCAAAUUCAGCCGUUUUGACCCUCAAACGGGCUGCGGAAAGUUAUGGCAGAAAAAAAAAGACCGAAAGCGGAUUUUCAAGGUGUUUUUGAUGCUUUCUUAACGCCGUUAACCUCGAUGCACUUUUUCGCUCGAAACAAAACGGCAAGAAAAUCAUGCGCGCCCCACGGCCUUACACUUGGAUUGGCCGCGAAAAGGAUAUAUAGAAACGAGAGUGAUGUACUGUCGGGUGCGAUCAUACCAGCACUAAUGCACCGGAUCCCAUCAGAACUCCGCAGUUAAGCGUGCUUGGGCGAGAGUAGUACUAGGAUGGGUGACCUCCCGGGAAGUCCUCGUGUUGCACCCCUUUUUAUUUUUUAAUUUUUUUAGCCUAAAACGAGUCUAAACUUGAAAACCUCAUAACUUUUGAACCGUGAGGAACUACGUCGCCCAUAGCACCAUUUCGGAAAGCCCCAGAAACCAUAAUGGGCGGUGAAUAGGGGGCGCAAUUUUCGGGCUCAAAUUCAGCCGUUUUGACCCUCAAACGGGCUGCGGAAAGUUAUGGCACGUAAAAAAGAUCGAAAGCGGAUUCUCAAGGUGUUUUUAAUGCUUUCUUAACGCCGUUAACCUCGAUGCACUUUUUCGCUCGAAACAAAACGGCAAGAAAUCAUGCGCGCCCCACGGCCUUACACUUGGAUUGGCCGCGAAAAGGAUAUAUAGAAACGAGAGUGAUGUACUGACGGGUGCGAUCAUACCAGCACUAAUGCACCGGAUCCCAUCAGAACUCCGCAGUUAAGCGUGCUUGGGCGAGAGUAGUAGUACUAGGAUGGGUGACCUCCCGGGAAGUCCUCGUGUUGCACCCCUUUUAUUUUUUAAUUUUUUUUUGCCUAAAACGAGUCUAAACUUGAAAAACCUCAUAACUUUUGAACCGUGAGGAACUACGUCGCCCAUAGCACCAUUUCGGAAAGCCCCAGAAACCAUAAUGGGCGGUGAGGUGAAUAGGGGGCGCAAUUUUUCGGGCUCAAAUUCAGCCGUUUGACCCUCAAACGGGCUGCGGGCGGAAAGUUAUGGCACGUAAAAAAGAUCGAAAGCGGAUUCUCAAGGUGUUUUUGAUGCUUUCUAACGCCGUUAACCUCGAUGCACUUUUUCGCUCGAAACAAAACGGCAAGAAAAUCAUGCGGCCCCACGGCCUUACACUUGGAUUGGCCGCGAAAAGGAUAUAUAGAAACGAGAGUGAUGUACUGACGGGUGCGAUCAUACCAGCACUAAUGCACGGAUCCCAUCAGAACUCCGCAGUUAAGCGUGCUUGGGCGAGAGUAGUACUAGGAUGGGGACCUCCCGGGAAGUCCUCGUGUUGCACCCCUUUUUAUUUUUUAAUUUUUUUUUAGCCUAAAACGAGUCUAAACUUGAAAACCUCAUAACUUUUGAACCGUGAGGAACUACGUCGCCCAUAGCACCAUUUCGGAAAGCCCCAGAAACCAUAAUGGCGGGUGAUGAAGGGGCGCAAUUUUCGGGCUCAAAUUCAGCCGUUUUGACCCUCAAACGGGCUGCGGAAAGUUAUGGCACGUAAAAAAGAUCGAAAGCGGAUUCUCAAGGUGUUUUUGAUGCUUUCUUAACGCCGUUAACCUCGAUGCACUUUUUCGCUCGAAACAAAACGGCAAGAAAAUCAUGCGCGCCCCCACGGCCUUACACUUGGAUUGGCCGCGCGAAAAGGAUAUAUAGAAACGAGAGUGAUGUACUGUCGGGUGCGAUCAUACCAGCACUAAUGCACCGGAUCCCAUCAGAACUCCGCAGUUAAGCGUGCUUGGGCGAGAGUAGUACUAGGAUGGGUGACCUCCCGGGAAGUCCUCGUGUUGCACCCCUUUUUAUUUUUUAAUUUUUUUUAGCCUAAAACGAGUAUAAACUUGAAAACCUGAAACUUUUGAACCGUGAGGAACUACGUCGCCCAUAGCACCAUUUCGGAGAGCCCCAGAAACCAUAAUGGGCGGUGAAUAGGGGGCGCAAUUUUUCGGGCUCAAAUUCAGCCGUUUUGACCCUCAAACGGGCUGCGGAAAGUUAUGGCACGUAAAAAAGAUCGAAAGCGGAUUCUCAAGGUGUUUUUGAUGCUUUCUUAACGCCGUUAACCUCGAUGCACUUUUUCGCUCGAAACAAAACGGCAAAAAAAAUCAUGUGGGCCCCACGGCCUUACACUUGGAUUGGCCGGGGAAAGGAUAUAUAGAAACGAGAGUGAUGUACUGACGGGUGCGAUCAUACCAGCACUAAUGCACCGGAUCCCAUCAGAACUCCGCAGUGAAGCGUGCUUGGGCGAGAGUAGUAUUAGGAUGGGUGACCUCCCGGGAAGUCCUCGUGUUGCACCCCUUUUUAUUUUAUAAUUUUUUUUUAGCCUAAAACGAGUCUAAACUUGAAAACCUCAUAACUUUUGAACCGUGAGGAACUACGUCGCCCAUAGCACCAUUUCGGAAAGCCCCAGAAACCAUAAUGGUGGUGCGGUGAAUAGGGGGCAAUCGCAAUUUUUCGGGCUCAAAUUCAGCCGUUUUGACCCUCAAACGGGCUGCGGAAAGUUAUGGCACGUAAAAAAGAUCGAAAGCGGAUUCUCAAGGUGUUUUUGAUGCUUUCUUAACGCCGUUAACCUCGAUGCACUUUUUCGCUCGAAACAAAACGGCAAGAAAAUCAUGCGCGCCCCCACGGCCUUACACUUGGAUUGGCCGCGAAAAGGAUAUAUAGAAACGAGAGUGAUGUACUGACGGGUGCGAUCAUACCAGCACUAAUGCACCGGAUCCCAUCAGAACUCAGCAGUUAAGCGUGCUUGGGCGAGAGUAGUACUAGGAUGGGUGACCUCCCGGGAAGUCCUGUGUGCACCCCUUUUAUUUUUUAAUUUUUUUUUAGCCUAAAACGAGUCUAAACUUGAAAACCUCAUAACUUUUGAACCGUGAGGAACUACGUCGCCCAUAGCACCAUUUCGGAAAGCCCCAGAAACCAUAAUGGGGUGAAUAGGGGGCGCAAUUUUCGGGCUCAAAUUCAGCCGUUUUGACCCUCAAACGGGCUGCGGAAAGUUAUGGCACGUAAAAAGAUCGAAAGCGGAUUCUCAAGGUGUUUUUGAUGCUUUCUUAACGCCGUUAACCUCGAUGCACUUUUCGCUCGAAACAAAACGGCAAGAAAAAUCAUGCGCGCCCCACGGCCUUACACUUGGAUUGGCCGCGAAAAGGAUAUAUAGAAACGAGAGUGAUGUACUGACGGGUGCGAUCAUACCAGCACUAAUGCACGGAUCCCAUCAGAACUCCGCAGUGAAAGCGUGCUUGGGCGAGAGUAGUACUAGGAUGGGUGACCUCCCGGGAAGUCCUCGUGUUGCACCCCUUUUUAUUUUUAAAUUUUUUUUUAGCCUAAAACGAGUCUAAACUUGAAAACCUCAUAACUUUUGAACCGUGAGGAACUACGUCGCCCAUAGCACCAUUUCCGGAGAGCCCCAGAAACCAUAAUGGGCGGUGAAUAGGGGGCGCAAUUUUUCGGGCUCAAAUUCAGCCGUUUUGACCCUCAAACGGGCUGCGGAAAGUUAUGGCACGUAAAAAAGAUCGAAAGCGGAUUCUCAAGGUGUUUUGAUGCUUUCUUAACGCCGUUAACCUCGAUGCACUUUUUCGCUUCGAAACAAAACGGCAAGAAAAUCAUGCGCGCCCCACGGCCUUACACUUGGAUUGGCCGCGAAAAGGAUAUAUAGAAACGAGAGUGAUGUACUGACGGGUGCGAUCAUAUACCAGCACUAAUGCACCGGAUCCCAUCAGAACUCCGCAGUUAAGCGUGCUUGGGCGAGAGUAGUACUAGGAUGGGUGACCUCCCGGGAAGUCCUCGUGUUGCACCCCUUUUAUUUUUUAAUUUUUUUUUGCCUAAAACGAGUCUAAACUUGAAAACCUCAUAACUUUUGAACCGUGAGGAACUACGUCGCCCAUAGCACCAUUUCGGAGAAGCCCCAGAAACCAUAAUGGGCGGUGAAUAGGGGGCGCAAUUUUUCGGGCUCAAUUCAGCCGUUUUGACCCUCAAACGGGCUGCGGAAAGUUAUGGCACGUAAAAAAAGAUCGAAAGCGGAUUCUCAAGGUGUUUUUGAUGCUUUCUUAACGCCGUAACCUCGAUGCACUUUUUCGCUCGAACAAAACGGCAAGAAAAUCAUGCGCGCCCCACGGCCUUACACUUGGAUUGGCCGCGAAAAGGAUAUAUAGAAACGAGAGUGAUGUACUGACGGGUGCGAUCAUACCAGCACUAAUGUACCGGAUCCCAUCAGAACUCCGCAGUUAAGCGCGCUUGGGCGAGAGUAGUAUUAGGAUGGGUGACCUCCCGGGAAGUCUUCGUGUUGCACCCCUUUUUAUUUUAUAAUUUUUUUAGCCUAAAACGAGUCUAAACUUGAAAACCUCAUAAAUUUUGAACCGUGAGGAACUACGUCGCCCAUAGCACCAUUUCGGAAAGUCCCAGAAACCAUAAUGGGCGGUGAAUAGGGGGCGCAAUUUUUCGGGCUGAAAUUCAGCCGUUUUGACCCUCAAACGGGCUGCGGAAAGUUAUGGCACGUAAAAAGAUCGAAAGCGGAUUCUCAAUGGUUUUUGAUGCUUUCUUAACGCCGUUAACCUCGAUGCACUUUUUCGCUCGAAACAAAACGGCAAGAAAAUCAUGCGCCCCCACGGCCUUACACUUGGAUUGGCCGCGAAAAGGAUAUAUAGAAACGAGAGUGAUGUACUGACGGGUGCGAUCAUACCAGCACUAAUGCACCGGAUCCCAUCAGAACUCCGCAGUUAAGCGUGCUUGGGCGAGAGUAGUACUAGGAUGGGUGACCUCCCGGGAAGUCCUCGUGUUGCACCCCUUUUUAUUUUUUAAUUUUUUUUUGCCUAAAACGAGUCUAAAACUUGAAAACCUCAUAACUUUUGAACCGUGAGGAACUACGUCGCCCAUAAGCACCAUUUCGGAAAGCCCCAGAAACCAUAAUGGCGGGAAUGCGGUGAAUAGGGGGCGCAAUUUUUCGGGCUCAAAUUCAGCCGUUUUGACCCUCAGACGGGCUGCGGAAAGUUAUGGCACGUAAAAAAGAUCGAAAGCGGAUUCUCAAGGUGUUUUUGAUGCUUUCUUAACGCCGUUAACCUCGAUGCACUUUUUUGCUCGAAACAAAACGGCAAGAAAAUCAUGCGCGCCCCACGGCCUUACACUUGGAUUGGCUGCGAAAAGGAUAUAUAGAAACGAGAGUGAUGUACUGUCGGCUGCGAUCAUACCAGCACUAAUGCACCGGAUCCCAUCAGAACUCCGCAGUGAAGCGUGCUUGGGCGAGAGUAGUACUAGGAUGGGUGACCUCCCGGGAAGUCCUCGUGUUGCACCCCUUUUUAUUUUUUAAUUUUUUUUUAGCCUAAAACGAGUCUAAACUUGAAAACCCAUAACUUUUGAACCGUGAGGAACUACGUCGCCCAUAGCACAUUUCGGAAGCCCCAGAAACCAUAAUGGGCGGUGAAUAGGGGGCGCAAUUUUCGGGCUCAAAAUUCAGCCGUUUUUGACCCUCAACGGGCUGGCGAAAAGUUAUGGCACGUAAAAAAGAUCGAAAGCGGAUUCUCAAGGUGUUUUUGAUGCUUUCUUAACGCCGUUAACUCGAUGCACUUUUCGCUCGAAACAAAACGGCAAGAAAAAUCAUGCGCGCCCCACGGCCUUACACUUGGAUUGGCCGCGAAAAGGAUAUAUAGAAACGAGAGUGAUGUACUGACGGGUGCGAUCAUACCAGCACUAAUGCACCGGAUCCCAUCAGAACUCCGCAGUUAAGCGUGCUUGGGCGAGAGUAGUACUAGGAUGGGUGACCUCCCGGAAGUCCUCUGUUGCACCCCUUUUUAUUUUUUUAAUUUUUUUUUAGGCCUAAAACGAGUCUAAACUUGAAAACCCAUAACUUUUGAACCGUGAGGAACUACGUCGCCCAUAGCACCAUUUCGGAAAGCCCCAGAAAACCAUAAGGGCGGGUGGUGAAUAGGGGGCGCAAUUUUUUCGGGCUCAAAUUCAGCCGUUUUGACCCUCAAACGGGCUGCGGAAAGUUUAUGGCACGUAAAAAAGAUCGAAAGCGGAUUCUCAAGGUGUUUUGAGCUUUCUUAACGCCGUUAACCUCGAUGCACUUUUUCGCUCGAAACAAAACGGCAAGAAAAUCAUGCGCGCCCCACGGCCUUACACUUGGAUCAUACCAGCACUAAUGCACCGGAUCCCAUCAGAACUCCGCAGUUAAGCGUGCUUGGGCGAGAGUAGUACUAGGAUGGGUGACCCUCCGGGAAGUCCUCGUGUUGCACCCCCUUUUUAUUUUUUAAUUUUUUUUUAGCCUAAAACGAGUCUAAACUUGAAAAACCUCAUAACUUUUGAACCGUGAGGAACUACGUCGCCCAUAGCACCAUUUCGGAAAGCCCCAGAAACCAUAAUGGGCGGGUGAAUAGGGGGGGCGCAAUUUUUCGGGCUCAAAUUCAGCCGUUUUGACCCUCAAACGGGCUGCGGAAAGUUAUGGCACGUAAAAAAGAUCGAAAGAUGAUUCUCAAGGUGUUUUUUGCUUUCUUUAACGCCGUUAACCUCGAUAAUUUCGCUUCUCGCUCGAAACAAAACGGCAAGAAAAUCAUGUGGCGCCCCACGGCCUUACACUUGGAUUGGCCGCGAAAAGGAUAUAUAGAAACGAGAGUGAUGUACUGACGGGUGCGAUCAUACCACGCAAUGCACCGGAUCCCAUCAGAACUCCGCAGAUUAAGCGUGCUUGGGCGAGAGUAGUACUAGGAUGGGUGACCUCCCGGGAAGUCCUCGUGUUGCACCCCUUUUUAUUUUUUAAUUUUUUUUUAGCCUAAACGAGUCUAAACUUGAAAACCUCAUAACUUUUGAACCGUGAGGAACUACGCCCCAUAGCACCAUUUCGGAAAGCCCCAGAAACCAUAAUGGGCGGUGAAUAGGGGGCGCAAUUUUUCGGGCUCAAAUUCAGCCGUUUUGACCCUCAAACGGGCUGCGGAAAGUUAUGGCACGUAAAAAAGAUCGAAAGCGGAUUCUCAAGGUGUUUUUGAUGCUUUCUUAACGCCGUUAACCUCGAUGCACUUUUUCGCUCGAAACAAAACGGCAAGAAAAUCAUGUGCGCCCCCACGGCCUACACUUGGAUUGGGCCGCGAAAAGGAUAUAUAGAAACGAGAGUGAUGUACUGACGGGUGCGAUCAUACACAGCACUAAUGCAACCGAUAUCAGAACUCCACGCAGUUAGCGUGUUGGGCUUGGCGAGAGUAGUACUAGGAUGGGUGACCUCCCGGGAAGACUCGUCCUCGUGUUGCCCCCUUUUUAUUUUUUAUUUUUUUAAUUUUUUUUUUACUAAACGAGUCUAAACUUGAAACCUCAUAACUUUUGAACCGUGAGGAACUAGACGUCGCCCAUAGCACCAUUUCGGAAAGCCCCAGAAACACCAUAAGGCGGUGAAUAGGGGGCGCAAUUUUUCGGGCUCAAAUUCAGCCGUUUUGACCCUCAAACGGGCUGCGGAAAGUUAUGGCACGUAAAAAAGAUCGAAAGCGGAUUCUCAAGGUGGUUUUUGAUGCUUUCUUAACGCCGUUAACCUCGAUGCACUUUUUCGCUCGAAACAAAACGGCAAAGAAAAUCAUGCGGGCCCCCACGGCCUUACACUUGGAUUGGCCGCGGAAAGGAUAUAUAGAAACGAGAGUGAUGUACUGACGGGUGCGAUCAUACCAGCACUAAUGCAACCAAUCCCAGAACUCCGCAGUUAAGAGUGUGCUUGGGCGAGAGUAGUACUAGGAUGGGUGACCUCCCGGGAAGUCCUCGUGUUGCACCCCUUUUUUUAUUUUAUAAUUUUUUUUUAGCCUAAAACGAGUCUAAACUUGAAAACCUCAUAACUUUUGAACCGUGAGGAAUACGUCGCCCAUAGCACCAUUUCGGAAGCCCCAGAAACCAUAAUGGGCGGUGGAAUAGGGGGCGCAAUUUUUCGGGCUCAAAUUCAGCCGUUUUGACCCUCAAACGGGCUGCGGAAAGUUAUGGCACGUAAAAAAGAUCGAAAGCGGAUUCUCAAGGUGUUUUUGAUGCUUUCUUAACGCCGUUAACCUCGAUGCACUUUUUCGCUCGAAACAAAACGGCAAAAAAAUCAUGUGGGCCCCACGGCCUUACACUUGGAUUGGCCGCGAAAAGGAUAUAUAGAAACGAGAGUGAUGUACUGACGGGUGCGAUCAUACCAGCACUAAUGCACCGGAUCCCAUCAGAACUCCGCAGUGAAGCGUGCUUGGGCGAGAGGUAGAGUGUAUAGGAUGGGUGACCUCCGGGAAGUCCUCGUGUUGCACCCCUUUUUAUUUUUUAAUUUUUUUUUAGCCUAAACGAGUCUAAACUUGAAAACCUCAUAACUUUUGAACCGUGAGGAACUACGUCGCCAUAGCACCAUUUCGGAAAGCCCCAGAAACCAUAAUGGGCGGUGAAUAGGGGGCGCAAUUUUUCGGGCUCAAAUUCAGCACGUUUUGACCCUCAAACGGGCUGCGGAAAGUUAUGGCACGUAAAAAAGAUCGAAAGCGGAUUCUCAAGGUUGUUUUUGAUGCUUUCUUAACGCCGUUAACCUCGAUGCACUUUUUCGCUCGAAACAAAACGGCAAGAAAAUCAUGCGCGGCCCACGGUUUACACUUGGAUUGGCCGCGAAAAGGAUAUAUUUGAUGUACUGAGAGUGAGUAUGACGGUGCGAUAUACCAGCACUAAUGCACCGGAUCCCAUCAGAACUCCGCAGUUAAGCGUGCUUUGGGGAGAGUAGUACUAGGAUGGGUGACCUCCCGGGAAGUCCUCGUGUUGCACCCUUUUUUAUUUUUAAUUUUUUU
RNAcentral lists this long non-coding RNA (22590 nucleotides) under Brassica rapa (field mustard). Lineage: Eukaryota; Viridiplantae; Streptophyta; Magnoliopsida; Brassicales; Brassicaceae. The record is from RNAcentral.